Molecule: long non-coding RNA, 5758 nt
Filed under: Gossypium barbadense (sea-island cotton)
Lineage: Eukaryota; Viridiplantae; Streptophyta; Magnoliopsida; Malvales; Malvaceae
Description: long non-coding RNA (GBAR_LNC017982)
Source: RNAcentral
AGGAGAUAAAAAAGACGAAAAAGAAAAACCCAGGAUUUCAAAACUAAACCAAAAGAGUGCGAGGAAACUCCAAAUCGAAACAUAAAGGAGCCCUGGCUGAGGAUGAAGAAAACCUUAAUCUAGCGCAACUAGGAUCGGGCAUUCAGCCUUCAUCGCCAACACAGCCAUAUCAGGUACAUCCUCUACCCAAAAACGGACUUCCCUGAAAGUAGAUCUUGCUUUAGCUAGAAUAUGGGGCCACCCUAUUCGCAUUCCGAUCAACAAAUCUAAAAAUUAUUCUAUCAAACAUUCUAGCUCUUUACUUAAUUUUCAACAUAAACCCCGAUGGCAGAUCUAGCCCUACCCUUCUCAAUGAUACGUACAAUGGUAGAUCUUGAGUCCCCUUCAACCACUAAAUUCGAAAAACCCAUGUCAGUGGCAAAAUGCAGACCGUCGAGGCAAGCAAGCACUUCACCCACGAAAGGAUCAGAGACAAAAUUGUUCCUUACCAUUCCACUUCCCAAAACCUGGCCUUGGGCAUUCCUAACAACAAAACCAGAAUAAGACUGAUGGCUUUGGCCAUGAAAAGUAGUAUCAAAGUUAAGCUUGAGCAUCAGAUCCAUCGGGGGGUCCAGCUUUGCUUCAUCGUUAUUCUCGCCUUAGGAAAUUUCGCUCUUAGCUCCUUUAGUUCACAAACAAGGCUAAUUAUUUUGGCACUAACUUCUAGUGCAUGUUGUUCUUUCCUUUCCAUGACAUGUCUAUUCUGAGCGAACCACAAAGCCUAAAUUGUAAUGGCGAUGAUAGAACAGGCGUGGAUGUCACUUGAUCUUAUUAGGUAAGUAAACCAACUCCAGUAGUCCUUAUGGUUACCAGAUAGAGACCAUUCAAGUUUAACCCAUCUCUAAACUUCCUAUGUCAGACCACACUGUAUACUUAUAUGUAGUGGAGUCUUAGCUUCAAUAUUACAACGAGGACACAUAGGGGAAGAAGCAAGUCUUCUAUUGUAAAGUAUAGAUGCUGUAGGAAUAAAUUUGUGUAACAUUCUCCAAUUUGCUAUCUUAAUUUUGGGAGUGAUUUGGAGAGACCAAAUUUUUUAUAAAAGUCAAUAUUACCUUUGGUAGAGUCUGAAUAAUCGGGGGCAUAUGUUAACAUUUGGUAGCCACUCCUGACUGUAAAGUCCUGUAUGUUCUCCUUUCCAAACUGGCACAUUAUCAUCAACAUAUUCAGACAGUGGAGUACAGUAGAUGGCCGUGGCAAUCUCAAAGGGAAACAAUCUGGUAAUAAGAUCAGUCUUUCAGAUUCUGUUAUUUGCUUCUAUUAAAUCAGCCACCAGAAAUAUAUUCUCAUCGCCUGUAUUAAAACUAUUAAUAGCAGGGGUCCCUUUCAGUAGCCAGUUAUCCUCCCAGAUGUUAAUUAUACGGCCGAACUUGCACUCCACCCCAUUUCGUCUACCAAUAACUUCCUAGCUGCAAAAAUGCUCUUCCAGGUGAAAGAUGGGUAAGAACCAAGCCUUGCAUUCCAAAAAGACGUGUUUGGGAAGUACUUAACACUAUAAAUACGUGCAAGUAAAGAUGCGGGAUUAGUGAGCAAUCGCCAGCCUUGCUUAACUAAUAAGGCUACAGUGAAUAUGCUAAGAUCACGAAAUCCCAAUCCACCAAGAUUCUUUGGAGUACACAAAUCACUCCAUUUACACCAACGGAUCCCCCAUCUAGUUGAGCUCUUUUGCCACUAGAAAAGACACAUAAUUGAUUCCAACUCUAAGCAAAGAACCUUAGGAAAUAAAAAAAAACAUGACAUUGAAUAAGUCGGAAGCGCCUAUAGAACAACUCUAAUGAAGACUUCCUGACCUCCCUAAGAUAAUAAUCUGGCACCCCAACUUUGCACCUUAAAUCUCAUCCGCUCACACAAACUACGAAAAGUUUCUCUUUUAUUCCUACCAAACAUCAUCGAAAGCCCUAAAUAUUUCUCCAUAUGGUUAGAUUGUCUUACCGAAACCAUUCGUUAAACAAUGUCGAACCUCUUCAGUAACAUUGUUGUUGAAAUAGAUAAGAGAUUUAUCAAGGUUUACCUUCUGACUUGAAGCUCUUUCAUGAGACUAUAGGAUAUCUUGGACUAUUUGACCACCUUGGUUGGUAGCCUCCCCAAAAAGGAUGCUAUCAUCAACAAAAAGCAAAUGUGUGAUCAUAGGACUACCCCUGUAAACCUUUACCCCCUUCAAUCUCCUAUUAUUUCUAGCCGAAUUUAGUAAGGCUGAAAGUUCUUCCGUACAAAUAAGAAAAAGAUACGGGCUUAGAUGGUCACCCUUACACAAGCCUCUACCAGGAUAGAAACAAUCACUCUACCUGCCAUUAAAGAGUUACUGAGUAUGAGACUGAAGUAACACAGUUCAAUACCGGAUGGACCCAUCGAUCAGAAAAACCCAGCUUAGACAUCAUACCCCUUAUGAAAUCUUAUUCAACCCGAUCAUAAACCUUACUCAUAUUGAGUUUAAGGGCAAACGACCCAUUAUUUCCUCUGUUUCUUCCCUUUAAAGCAUGAAGGACCUCAUAUGCUAUAAGAGUGUUAUAAAAAAUGAGGCAUCCCAGAAAAUAUGCGCCUUGCAUUUCGUCUAUGCACCAUCUAGUGUAAGUUUGAGUCUAUUUGCUAUAGUUUUAGACAUAAUCUUAUACAAAACCGGGUAGAGGCUAAUCGGCCUGAACAUAGACAUUCUAUCUGCACUAGGAGUUUUAGGAAUUAACAUAAUUGAUGUAAAGUUUACCUCCGUAAAGUCCAUACUGUCAUUAAGAAUAAUGAGGCAAAAAUGAGAUACAUCCGUGCCAAUCACCUCCCAGAAAUGCUGAAAAAUAGUGCAUGAAAGCCAUCUGGGCCCGGAGCCUUUGUAGCUCCCAUUUCUUUAACCGCCAAUCCAAUCUCCUCAUCUUGGAAAUCCUUGCCUAGCUUAUCAUUAGUAGAAGCUAAAAUUUUAGGAGUUACAUAGUUAUAGAUCUCAUUCGCCCUUUUACUAUUCGAACUAGAGAAAAGGUCAAUGAAAUAACUAAUAGUUGUAUGCAUCAUAGCCAUAUUCUUAGUGUGUUCAAUCCUUAAAUAAUCCUUCAAGCAUCUAACCCUGUUCAAACGUUGACGAUAAGACGCAAAAUUGUGAAAAAAAUUUGUAUCCUGAUCCCCAAACUGUAACCAAUUCGAUCUGGCCCUUUGACUCCAAUAAAUUUCCUCUUUAUCAAUGGCUAUCCCAUAAUCCAAUUUAGCUUCAAUAAUAUCCACCAAUGUUGUAUCCGAUGGGUGAGCCGAAUAAAGAUCAUUAAGCCGUUGUUUGAGAAUUUUUAGCAGGUAAUUUUUAUCCUUUUUAACUCUAGCAACCCAGCUCUUUAAACCCUGUCCCAUAACUACAAGACGAUCAGGGACAUUAAGAUGUUUAUUAAUACUCUAAAGAGUAGCCACCUUCUUGCUACAUGAAUCCUCCAAUAACCAAUCAACCUCAAAUUUGAAAGCCAUAUAACCCUCCUCCUCCCGAAUCAGUCUAAAGGCAAUUGUAUUCAAUAAUAUCGGACAAUGAUCCGAGCAAGGACUAACCAAGUGAUCAAUACUGUAAAACAGGAACAGUUCAGACCAAGUUGGGUUUGCAACACCCCUAUCCAGUAUUUCCCUAACGUUAGUGGCAGCAAAAUUGCCAUGUUCCCACGUAAACCAUCGUCCAUGAAAACCCAGGUCAUAAAGAUCACGAUCUGCCAAAACUUCUCAAAAAUUGGCCAUCUGAGUUUCAUUCCUUGUAUUCCCACCUUUCUUCUCCUGAUUAGAGACAAUCUCAUUAAAGUCUCCCACGACAAUCCAAGGACCCUAAUAAGAAUUACACAAAUGGGAUAGUAACGCCCAAGAAUUCACCUGGUCUCUGCUCUUGGGAUCACCAUAAAAACCAGUAAAACACCAAUCAACAUUCACAUCCUUAGUAUAAAUUAAAACAUCGAUAUAUUUCUCAUUGAAACUUUUCAAAGAAACGAAAAUACCAUCUUUCCACCCCAACGACAAACCACUGUGGGAGCCACUUGCCGAAACAUCAAUCCUAUUUUGAUAAUUGAAUUUCUCCCGAAGUCUGUCCAUUCAAACCUCAUCCACUUUCGUCUCAAUAAGAAAAACAAUUUGGGGAUUAUAACCCUUCAGCAAAUGUUGAAUUCUAUGAACAGACCGUGGUUCCCCUGCCCACAAGCGUUUCAACUCAGGAUUUUCAUUGCGAUCGGCUAACCUGCCCUGCAGGUUCAACUGAGUGUUCAGAUUGGCAAAACAUGUUCUGCUUGCCAGAAGUCUCACCCAAAUCCAUAGAGAAAGCAACCGAUUAUACAUUUUUUGAUCUGGGUCGUUUCUUACCAUUAUUAAUCGAGAUUGGCCUAUUUUCCUCCAAACUUCCUUCAUUCAUUAAUUCCAAGUCAACUUGCAUUUCUUAUUGGGAAGAUUUGAUUUCCCAGCUAAAUUCAACCUAAAAAAUCUGCCAACAUCAACCAUAAAUUUAGGGGGAUUAGAAUCCCUAAAAUUUCUCCACUAAUUACUUCCAAAAAUUCCACAAUUUCUGCCCAAUUUCCCCAGGUUUGAGCAGCCAGAUGCUGUCGUCGCCGACCGUCCUUCGAGGCGGCGCUUUCAAGGAAAUGUCCCAUGCCAACAGCAAAUCCUUACUACCUUCAACCAUGCGAAUAGGACAAUAACUCUCACCGUGUCCUAAUCUUCCAUAUAGAAAACAAAAAGUAGUGAGCUUUUCAUAUUUGAAGGUGGCAUAGCAUUCCUUCAUUUUGGCAAAAAGAAGCUUUUUCCUCCUUUUCAACGAUUUACAGACAUUAAUUUCCUCCCGAACUCUCAUGAAAUUUUGAAAACCCGCAACAAUAGCAUUCGCAUCAUACUCUAAAAAGGUGCCAAUGAAGUUUCCAAACUGCCUCGCCAAAGAUUCCGAAUGCAUGCCCAAACUAAGAUUAUCGAUCUGGACCCAUAAAGCGGUAAAAAGAAGAGGCACCUCCAACGGUUCCUUAUUCGGUUUAAUCUUUGCUAAUAGUACAAAUGGUUGUUAAAAGUUCAAGAAAUGCCAUUAAUAACUUUAUCCCAAUCCACUUCGCAGUAGAAUCUAAAAAGAAACCGUUUCUCACCAAUAUUUGUGAUCAUCACCCCUCCUGUAGGAUGCCAAAGAUUAACCAUGACCGAUCUCAUAGACUGAAAAUUAACUAUGGUUGUCGUCAAGAAACAGUCUACCAGAAGGAAAUAAGACUGUUUAUUAUGUACUUCAGAUUCUUGGGCCAUCUCCCAUGCCACCGUCUCUCCCGUUUCUUCCUCAUCCUCCAAGCGAAGAUCUGCUAAUGCUGAUUCCAUAACGCAAGAACAAACUGAAAUAGAGCCAAAAUCGAAGGAUACUAAAAUAGAACUAAACAAAUGUCAUAUAAAAUACAUACACUCAAAUGUCACAGAAAGGACAUACUAUCUCUCCUUCGUAGUUUUAUUUUUUUUUAUUUUUUACGAUAAAUAUAAUCUUUGAAUUACUAUCAUUAAAGAUUAGCCAUUUUAUUAAAUUCAUAUCUUUUGACUGGAGGAUUUUGAUUUCACAUGGUUAAACAAACCAAUGAUGGUCACAUCGUUUCUUAUCUUUUUAUUUAUUUAAUCUAAUGACACAUCAUAAAAAAAAUCAUAAGUUAUCAAAUAUAAAUCCUAAUGAUAAUAAAAGUUCCGGGUGUACGCAAUAUCAAGGAAAUGUCUCUAAGUACAAUGUCAAGCACCAACAUCUAUAUUUGUAUAUAAAUGUAAACCAUCA